This 600-nucleotide ribosomal RNA is filed under the name Bacillus thuringiensis. RNAcentral's name for it is "bacterial SSU rRNA". It matches the Rfam family "Bacterial small subunit ribosomal RNA", at positions 56 to 639 of the family's 1533-position model. The record is from RNAcentral. Lineage: Bacteria; Bacillati; Bacillota; Bacilli; Caryophanales; Bacillaceae.
UGCAAGUCGAGCGAAUGGAUUGAGAGCUUGCUCUCAUGAAGUUAGCGGCGGACGGUGAGUAACACGUGGGUAACCUGCCCAUAAGACUGGGAUAACUCGGGAAACCGGGCUAAUACCGGAUAACAUUUUGAACUGCAUGGUUCGAAAUUGAAAGGCGGCUUCGGCUGUCACUUAUGGAUGGACCCGCGUCGCAUUAGCUAGUUGGUGAGGUAACGGCUCACCAAGGCAACGAUGCGUAGCCGACCUGAGAGGGUGAUCGGCCACACUGGGACUGAGACACGGCCCAGACUCCUACGGGAGGCAGCAGUAGGGAAUCUUCCGCAAUGGACGAAAGUCUGACGGAGCAACGCCGCGUGAGUGAUGAAGGCUUUCGGGUCGUAAAACUCUGUUGUUAGGGAAGAACAAGUGCUAGUUGAAUAAGCUGGCACCUUGACGGUACCUAACCAGAAAGCCACGGCUAACUACGUGCCAGCAGCCGCGGUAAUACGUAGGUGGCAAGCGUUAUCCGGAAUUAUUGGGCGUAAAGCGCGCGCAGGUGGUUUCUUAAGUCUGAUGUGAAAGCCCACGGCUCAACCGUGGAGGGUCAUUGGAAACUGGGAG